Molecule: ribosomal RNA, 1179 nt
Filed under: Triticum aestivum (bread wheat)
Lineage: Eukaryota; Viridiplantae; Streptophyta; Magnoliopsida; Poales; Poaceae
Description: partial small subunit ribosomal RNA
Source: RNAcentral
AUGUAUCCAAUCAAUGUGGGGCAAGAUAAACUGACUCAACUGGCUGCUAUUUUGGGUUGCACUAUGGGCUCUUUUCCUUUUCCCUAUUUGGGCCUACCCCUAGGCACAAAGAAGCCAAAAGUGGAUGAUUUCUUCCCCAUGAUGCAGAGAAUUGAAAGAAGACUCACUGGUUGCUCUACCUUGCUUUCAACAGGAGAAAAGCUUUCUCUAAUUAAGAGUGUUUUCACCAGCCUGCCAACCUUCUUCAUGUGCUCUUUACAUCUACCUGUCACAGUGAUGGACCAAGUAUAUUCUUACAUCAGACAUUGUUUUUGGAGGAAAUAUGGUCAGGAAGGUACUGGUCCUGCACUCAUUGCUUGGACCACAGUCUGCAAGCCAAAAGAACAAGGUGGAUUGGGGGUCCUGGAUAUAGCUACCCACAACAAAGCUCUCCUUCUAAAAAACCUUCACAAAUUCAUGAAUAAGGCUGCUCUUCCUUGGGUCAACUUGAUUUGGGACACCUACUAUGAGCACAGAGCCCCAACCAACAAGCCUGUUGGCUCUUUUUGGUGGAAAUCCAUCAUUAAACUCCUCCCUACUUACAAAGACAUGGCCCUCUGCACUGUGGGACAAGGACACUCAGUAAUGUUUUGGCAUGAUAGAUGGGGCCCUGUUGCCCUCAAAUUUCAAUUCCCUCACUUGUUCUCCUUUGCCAAAGAUGAUUUACUGUCCAUCAAAGAAGCCUCAGAAUCAAGCUCCUUCCAAGAACUCUUUCAUCUGCCGCUAUCCAAUCUGGCUUUUGCACAAUUUCACCAAGCAAGAGCCUGUCUAGAACAAUCCAAUCUCCGAGAGAAUGCUGAUCAGUGGAAAUACAUUUGGAACUCGGCUUCUUUCUCUCCUUCAAAAGCUUAUAACUUUCUCAUUCAAGGAGAGGAGGCUCACCCAGUCUUCAGGAAGAUAUGGUCUGCUGCUGUCAUGCUAAGAUAUAAAAUCUUCUUCUGGUUGUUACUGCACGAUCGAGUAAACACAAGAGGGCUAAUUCACAGAAAAUCUUUCCAUCUCCCUUCCUAUAAGUGUGAGCUCUAUACUGAUCAAGUGGAAGAAACUGCAAUGCACCUUUUUUUGGGACUGUCCCUUUGCAUUGCGAUGCUGGGACAUGAUUAUCCCACUCAAACGCAGAGACACGAGUGUGCUCAAUGA